This 17-nucleotide small RNA is filed under the name Arabidopsis thaliana (thale cress). Lineage: Eukaryota; Viridiplantae; Streptophyta; Magnoliopsida; Brassicales; Brassicaceae. The record is from RNAcentral.
ACUAGUCCUGGCUGGCC